UUUUAGGUGAAUUGAUUAUGUUUGGAUACAUUCAAUUAAAAGUAAUUUUUACGAGUUGAUAUUGUUUGGGUAG
Molecule: microRNA precursor, 73 nt
Organism: Medicago truncatula (barrel medic)
Lineage: Eukaryota; Viridiplantae; Streptophyta; Magnoliopsida; Fabales; Fabaceae
Rfam family: MIR5272 microRNA precursor family
Source: Rfam